This is a small nuclear RNA of Meleagris gallopavo (turkey), 113 nucleotides long. Lineage: Eukaryota; Metazoa; Chordata; Aves; Galliformes; Phasianidae. The record is from Ensembl.
UGGGGAUAUGAAACAAGAGCAGAACAGCACUUCUCUUGAUAAGGAUGGAAGAAAUCUUAAUGGACUUAAUCAUAUUAAGAUUGUCACUUACUUUGAGAUUUCUAAUGUAUAUA